CCUACGGGGGGCAGCAGUGAGGAAUAUUGGUCAAUGGGCGCUAGCCUGAACCAGCCAAGUAGCGUGAAGGAUGACUGCCCUAUGGGUUGUAAACUUCUUUUAUAUGGGAAUAAAGUGCAGUAUGUAUACUGCUUUGCAUGUACCUUAUGAAUAAGGAUCGGCUAACUCCGUGCCAGCAGCCGCGGUAAUACGGAGGAUCCGAGCGUUAUCCGGAUUUAUUGGGUUUAAAGGGAGCGUAGGCGGGUUGUUAAGUCAGUUGUGAAAGUUUGCGGCUCAACCGUAAAAUUGCAGUUGAUACUGGCAUCCUUGAGUACAGUAGAGGUAGGCGGAAUUCGUGGUGUAGCGGUGAAAUGCUUAGAUAUCACGAAGAACUCCGAUUGCGAAGGCAGCCUGCUGGACUGUAACUGACGCUGAUGCUCGAAAGUGUGGGUAUCAAACAGGA
This 442-nucleotide ribosomal RNA is filed under the name uncultured bacterium. RNAcentral describes it as "bacterial SSU rRNA". It matches the Rfam family "Bacterial small subunit ribosomal RNA", at positions 338 to 777 of the family's 1533-position model. The record is from RNAcentral.